AGUGAACGCUGGCGGCAGGCCUAACACAUGCAAGUCGAGCGGCAGCGCGGGGGCAACCCUGGCGGCGAGCGGCGGACGGGUGAGGAAUUCGUCGGAAUCUGCCUUUUUGUGGGGGAUAACGUAGGGAAACUUACGCUAAUACCGCAUACGUCCUACGGGAGAAAGUGGGGGACCGCAAGGCCUCACGCAGAAAGAUGAGCCGACGACCGAUUAGCUAGUUGGUGGGGUAAAGGCCCACCAAGGCGACGAUCGGUAGCUGGUCCGAGAGGAUGAUCAGCCACACUGGGACUGAGACACGGCCCAGACUCCUACGGGAGGCAGCAGUGGGGAAUAUUGGACAAUGGGCGCAAGCCUGAUCCAGCCAUGCCGCGUGUGUGAAGAAGGCCUUCGGGUUGUAAAGCACUUUUGUCCGGAAAGAAAUCCCUGGAGCUAAUACCUUCGGGGGAUGACGGUACCGGAAGAAUAAGCACCGGCUAACUUCGUG
RNAcentral lists this ribosomal RNA (484 nucleotides) under uncultured bacterium. RNAcentral describes it as "partial 16S ribosomal RNA". It matches the Rfam family "Bacterial small subunit ribosomal RNA", at positions 29 to 507 of the family's 1533-position model. The record is from RNAcentral.